CGAAAGCCUGACGGAGCAAGACCGCGUGGGGGAGGAAGGUUCUUGGAUUGUAAACCCCUUUUCUCAGGGAAGAACAAAAUGACGGUACCUGAGGAAUCAGCCUCGGCUAACUCCGUGCCAGCAGCCGCGGUAAUACGGAGGAGGCAAGCGUUAUCCGGAAUGAUUGGGCGUAAAGCGUCCGCAGGUGGCUUGUCAAGUCUGCUGUCAAAGCCAGUGGCUUAACCACUGAAAGGCAGUGGAAACUGACAGGCUAGAGUGCGGUAGGGGUAGAGGGAAUUCCCAGUGUAGCGGUGAAAUGCGUAGAGAUUGGGAAGAACACCGGUGGCGAAAGCGCUCUACUGGGCCUGCACUGACACUGAGGGACGAAAGCUAGGGGAGCG
Molecule: ribosomal RNA, 380 nt
Filed under: uncultured Limnoraphis sp.
Lineage: Bacteria; Bacillati; Cyanobacteriota; Cyanophyceae; Oscillatoriales; Sirenicapillariaceae
Description: bacterial SSU rRNA
Rfam family: Bacterial small subunit ribosomal RNA
Source: RNAcentral